AGACGGAGGGUCCUAGCGUUGUUCGGAAUAACUGGGCGUAAAGGGUACGUAGGCGGUUUGGUCAGUUAGAUGUGAAAGCCCAGGGCUCAACCUUGGAACUGCAUUUAAUACUGCCAGACUUGAGAUCGGAAGAGGAAAGCGGAAUUCCUAGUCUAGAGGUGAAAUUCGUAGAUAUUAGGAGGAACAUCGGAGGCGAAGGCGGCUUUCUGGUCCGAUACUGACGCUGAGGUACGAAAGCGUGGGGAGCAAGCAGGAUUAGAAACCCUAGUAGUCC
Molecule: ribosomal RNA, 274 nt
Filed under: uncultured bacterium
Lineage: Bacteria
Description: partial 16S ribosomal RNA
Rfam family: Bacterial small subunit ribosomal RNA
Source: RNAcentral